UUGGGGGGUGCUAUACAUGCAGUCGAGCGGACAGAUGGGAGCUUGCUCCCUGAUGUUAGCGGCGGACGGGUGAGUAACACGUGGGUAACCUGCCUGUAAGACUGGGAUAACUCCGGGAAACCGGGGCUAAUACCGGAUGGUUGUCUGAACCGCAUGGUUCAGACAUAAAAGGUGGCUUCGGCUACCACUUACAGAUGGACCCGCGGCGCAUUAGCUAGUUGGUGAGGUAACGGCUCACCAAGGCGACGAUGCGUAGCCGACCUGAGAGGGUGAUCGGCCACACUGGGACUGAGACACGGCCCAGACUCCUACGGGAGGCAGCAGUAGGGAAUCUUCCGCAAUGGACGAAAGUCUGACGGAGCAACGCCGCGUGAGUGAUGAAGGUUUUCGGAUCGUAAAGCUCUGUUGUUAGGGAAGAACAAGUGCCGUUCAAAUAGGGCGGCACCUUGACGGUACCUAACCAGAAAGCCACGGCUAACUACGUGCCAGCAGCCGCGGUAAUACGUAGGUGGCAAGCGUUGUCCGGAAUUAUUGGGCGUAAAGGGCUCGCAGGCGGUUUCUUAAGUCUGAUGUGAAAGCCCCCGGCUCAACCGGGGAGGGUCAUUGGAAACUGGGGAACUUGAGUGCAGAAGAGGAGAGUGGAAUUCCACGUGUAGCGGUGAAAUGCGUAGAGAUGUGGAGGAACACCAGUGGCGAAGGC
RNAcentral lists this ribosomal RNA (700 nucleotides) under Bacillus subtilis. RNAcentral describes it as "bacterial SSU rRNA". It matches the Rfam family "Bacterial small subunit ribosomal RNA", at positions 37 to 722 of the family's 1533-position model. The record is from RNAcentral. Lineage: Bacteria; Bacillati; Bacillota; Bacilli; Caryophanales; Bacillaceae.